Molecule: unclassified non-coding RNA, 573 nt
Filed under: uncultured fungus
Lineage: Eukaryota; Fungi
Description: partial contains ITS1, 5.8S rRNA and ITS2
Rfam family: 5.8S ribosomal RNA (bases 230-383)
Source: RNAcentral
AAUAAAUCUGAUAAAGUUGUUGCUGGCUCUAGAGCAUGUGCACACUUGUCAUCUUUAUAUUUCCACCUUUGUGCAUCUUUUGUAGGCCUGGAUAUCAGGUUUGAGGAUUGAUUUUAAAUAAUCUUUCUUUACAUUUGCAGGCCUAUGUUUUCUUCAUAUUAUAUAUAUGCCCCAUUGUAUGUUCUAGAAUGUAAUAAAAUGGGCCUUUGUGCCUAUAAACAUUUAAUACAACUUUCAGCAACGGAUCUCUUGGCUCUCGCAUCGAUGAAGAACGCAGCGAAAUGCGAUAAGUAAUGUGAAUUGCAGAAUUCAGUGAAUCAUCGAAUCUUUGAACGCACCUUGCGCUCCUUGGUAUUCCUUGGAGCAUGCCUGUUUGAGUGUCAUUUGUAUAUCAACCUCUUCAACCUUUGGCUUGUUGAGUGUUGGAUGUGGGGGGUUUUGCUGGUUUCUCUCUUGAGGUCAGCUCUCCUGAAAUGCAUUAGUUGAACAAUUUGCAGACCUUGUUCAUUGGUGUGAUAAUUAUCUACGCUAUUAACAACAAAGCAAGCUCAGCUUCUAACAGUCCAUUGACUU